UGUGUAGGCUGAAAAGUAAGCGUCUUGUGAAAGCCCCCGGCUUAACCGGGGGAUUGCUUGACGAACUGCUUUUCUUGAGGCAAACAGGGGUGCACGGAACUCUUGGUGGAGCGGUGAAAUGCGUAGAUAUCAAGAGGAACGCCGGUGGUGAAAACGGUGCACUGGGUUUGUUCUGACGCUGAGACACGAAAGCGUGGGGAGCGAACG
This 207-nucleotide ribosomal RNA is filed under the name uncultured bacterium. RNAcentral describes it as "partial 16S ribosomal RNA". It matches the Rfam family "Bacterial small subunit ribosomal RNA", at positions 568 to 774 of the family's 1533-position model. The record is from RNAcentral.